This 1021-nucleotide long non-coding RNA is filed under the name Felis catus (domestic cat). RNAcentral's name for it is "lncRNA (ENSFCAG00000052079.1)". Lineage: Eukaryota; Metazoa; Chordata; Mammalia; Carnivora; Felidae. The record is from RNAcentral.
UGAACCAUUUGACUGGGGGAGAGGGAGAGGAGCGGGCUGACAAAUUGGAAGGCACACUCUCAGGCAAGUAAAUAUCAACUCUGAGUCCUCGGUUUGGGAGCCUAAGGAGAAAAGGAACCUCCCGGAUGCUUGGUCGGGAUGCCUGGAUCUUAAAAAUGUGUGAAAGCAUGUAAGUGGCACACUUCUACAACGUCACCGAAGCAAGAUAGAUUAAACAAAGGUGUCAGAGAAGUUUGGAAUAAGGAAUAUUUUAACGCAGCCUUGAAAGGAUUUCAUCGUUUGACGGUUGUUUAUUUAUGAGACGAUUAAACUGAAAGUACAUUUAAACCAGCCUCUAAAACACCGUAUGGCUUGCAGCUCCCCCUGCCACGGCAGAAUUCAACUCCACUGCAGAAGCGUUACGGGGAAAAGAUUUUCCUACAAAUAGGGUACUUUUUAAAACGUCACACACGGCAAAAUUCCGCGUGGUCUUUAUCUGGGACAUGACGCCUUUGGCACCAGCCGUCACUGUCCCUAAACAUCAGCGUCCUCUUCAAACGGUAACAUGCACGAGCAGAGAAUGGCUUUUGGUAAUGAACGAACGGCUUCCCCGAUCUGUCGCGUAAACAGCAGCUUGAUUGGAUCAUCUGGCCUUUAAUAACGAAGAACGGGAGCAGCACACACACCGGACCCAAUGUGUUGGCUCUGCAGCCGGAUCAGAAAACUCUCCCCCGGCCUCAACAGCAAAUCUCGCUGGGGUGUCCCCGCGCCUUCAAGUCGACCCACGAUGACAAAGCCCACGGGAGCCGUUAGCACACUAACCGGGAGCGUGGUCCUGUCUGAUUUUCACAGUGACAUGUGCGAUGUGGCCGCCGCUCUCGAACCCCGGAGCCGGCCGCCGUGCCCGAAUCAACCGGAGAAUCCAAGCCAGAGUGGAAACACACACCUUCGCCCCACCCUGUCUGCAGAGCCAGAACUUCUCUUGCAAACCGAGCAGAAAAGCUCACAUGGAUACCUAAAGAGCCUAAAAGUUGUACGACAA